This is a long non-coding RNA of Lolium perenne, 742 nucleotides long. RefSeq lists it as uncharacterized. NCBI's taxonomy places the organism in Eukaryota, Viridiplantae, Streptophyta, Magnoliopsida, Poales, Poaceae. The record is from RefSeq and is a predicted model, not a curated record.
AGCCCUCUUCAAUACCUUCAUUUUGGCGGUGGUUUCACUUCGAUUGACCUCCUGAAACUGAAAUGGUUCACAGGUCAAGAUCUUGUCAGAUCUGACUUUGUCGAAUUAAACCAGGAGCUUGGGAACGAAUCUUUGAGUGAAACAAAUUGGGGGAUGUUUGGUUUAUACCAUGGUGAUAACCGAGAGAGGCAAUUGCUAAGUUGUGAUACUCUCAUACCUUUACUAGACGCGAGCAAUUCCGGAGAAGAAGAAGUGGAAUUGGACAAGGAUUUUAUUUAUAUUGUUGGGAUUCUUAUAUUGAUAGAGUUGAAGAAGUACAGGGACAAAUAAGCCAAGGCAAGCCAUUUACUUUGACUCUUUAUAUCCAUGUUCUUGGUUGAGAUCUUUCUAUCCUUGGUCUCUUGAUUUCUUGCGUCUCCUUGGGUUUGCUUAAUUUGAUUCUUUUACAUACUUGCCACCAAGUGUGUAAUGUCCCCUCUCGAUAUUUUGCGUACUUACUCUAAGUAUGUGAAUCACAUUUCACCACCUUUUGGCACCCUAAUUGUAGUAAACACUUGGGAUAAUAUCAUUAAAAUUGCUCUACUUUUUGAUCAUCUCCAUUCAUGCUCAAUUGGAGUAUGGAUGACCUUGACACCCCUUCAUGUUAUGAUGGCAAUCAUUAUGCUAUUAUACAUCUUAGUUCACACAUAAACUUUAGGUUGGGAAAACCCUCAAGGUUUUACCUUGUUGUAAAAGUUUUUGU